GACGAACGCUGGCGGCGUGCUUAACACAUGCAAGUCGAACGGAAAGGCCCUGCUUUUGUGGGGUGCUCGAGUGGCGAACGGGUGAGUAACACGUGAGUAACCUGCCCUUGACUUUGGGAUAACUUCAGGAAACUGGGGCUAAUACCGGAUAGGAGCUCCUGCUGCAUGGUGGGGGUUGGAAAGUUUCGGCGGUUGGGGAUGGACUCGCGGCUUAUCAGCUUGUUGGUGGGGUAGUGGCUUACCAAGGCUUUGACGAGUAGCCGGCCUGAGAGGGUGACCGGCCACAUUGGGACUGAGAUACGGCCCAGACUCCUACGGGAGGCAGCAGUGGGGAAUAUUGCACAAUGGGCGGAAGCCUGAUGCAGCAACGCCGCGUGCGGGAUGGCGGCCUUCGGGUUGUAAACCGCUUUCGCCUGUGACGAAGCGUGAGUGACGGUAAUGGGUAAAGAAGCACCGGCUAACUACGUG
This 468-nucleotide ribosomal RNA is filed under the name uncultured bacterium. RNAcentral's name for it is "partial 16S ribosomal RNA". It matches the Rfam family "Bacterial small subunit ribosomal RNA", at positions 28 to 507 of the family's 1533-position model. The record is from RNAcentral.